AAGUCGUAACAAGGUCUCCGUUGGUGAACCAGCGGAGGGAUCAUUACUGAGUAUCUUACUCUCUACCCUUUGUGAACUAUUAUACCUGUUGCUUCGGCGGCGUCCCCCCGGGGGCGCCCGCCGGGGGGACGCUACCAAACUAUUGCAGUCAUUGGCCUCUCUGAGUAUGAUUUUUAAAUAAGUCAAAACUUUCAACAACGGAUCUCUUGGUUCUG
RNAcentral lists this unclassified non-coding RNA (215 nucleotides) under Plectosphaerella sp. RNAcentral's name for it is "partial internal transcribed spacer region". The stretch from base 1 to 46 matches the Rfam family "Eukaryotic small subunit ribosomal RNA", at positions 1786 to 1831 of the family's 1831-position model. The record is from RNAcentral. Lineage: Eukaryota; Fungi; Ascomycota; Sordariomycetes; Glomerellales; Plectosphaerellaceae.